This 261-nucleotide ribosomal RNA is filed under the name uncultured archaeon. RNAcentral's name for it is "partial 16S ribosomal RNA". It matches the Rfam family "Archaeal small subunit ribosomal RNA", at positions 748 to 1008 of the family's 1478-position model. The record is from RNAcentral.
CAGCCGUAAACUAUGCGCGUUAGGUGUAUCGGUGACCACGAGUUACCGAGGUGCCGAAGGGAAACCGUGAAACGUGCCGCCUGGGAAGUACGGUCGCAAGGCUGAAACUUAAAGGAAUUGGCGGGGGAGCACCACAACAGGUGGAGCCUGCGGUUUAAUUGGACUCAACGCCGGGAAGCUCACCGGAUAGGACAGCUGAAUGAUUGUCAAUCUGAAGGUUUUACAUGACUAGCUGAGAGGAGGUGCAUGGCGUCAGUGACU